RNAcentral lists this ribosomal RNA (574 nucleotides) under uncultured Lachnospiraceae bacterium. Its description in RNAcentral is "bacterial SSU rRNA". It matches the Rfam family "Bacterial small subunit ribosomal RNA", at positions 156 to 747 of the family's 1533-position model. The record is from RNAcentral. Lineage: Bacteria; Bacillati; Bacillota; Clostridia; Lachnospirales; Lachnospiraceae.
AUGACUGCUAAUACCGCAUAAGCGCACGGUGCUGCAUGGCACAGUGUGAAAAACUCCGGUGGUAUGAGAUGGACCCGCGUCUGAUUAGCUAGUUGGUGGGGUAACGGCCUACCAAGGCGACGAUCAGUAGCCGGCCUGAGAGGGUGAACGGCCACAUUGGGACUGAGACACGGCCCAAACUCCUACGGGAGGCAGCAGUGGGGAAUAUUGCACAAUGGGGGAAACCCUGAUGCAGCGACGCCGCGUGAGCGAAGAAGUAUUUCGGUAUGUAAAGCUCUAUCAGCAGGGAAGAAAUAGGACGGUACCUGACUAAGAAGCACCGGCUAAAUACGUGCCAGCAGCCGCGGUAAUACGUAUGGUGCAAGCGUUAUCCGGAUUUACUGGGUGUAAAGGGAGCGUAGACGGUUGUGUAAGUCUGAUGUGAAAGCCCGGGGCUCAACCCCGGGACUGCAUUGGAAACUAUGUAACUAGAGUGUCGGAGAGGUAAGCGGAAUUCCUAGUGUAGCGGUGAAAUGCGUAGAUAUUAGGAGGAACACCAGUGGCGAAGGCGGCUUACUGGACGAUCACUGACGUU